GGGUUUUUUAUUUUGUACUUCAAACCUUAAAUUUAUUUUUUAUAUUUUUUUAAUGUUCAUGUUUUUGAAUGUUUGAUUUAAAAAUAAUGUAAAAAAUAAAAUAGAUAUUGACAUGGAUUGAACAAAAGAUAUAUAUUAUUCUAUGUUGCAUAAACAAAUUGGCAAAGUAGAGAUGGAAGAUAAAAAUAUGGU
This 192-nucleotide unclassified non-coding RNA is filed under the name [Borrelia] lusitaniae. RNAcentral's name for it is "Borreliella lusitaniae partial 5S-23S ribosomal RNA intergenic spacer". Lineage: Bacteria; Pseudomonadati; Spirochaetota; Spirochaetia; Spirochaetales; Borreliaceae. The record is from RNAcentral.